GAAAGUAAAUAAGGGCGCAUGGAGGAUGCCUUGGCUCUUAGAGGCGAUGAAAGACGUGAUAAGCUGCGAUAAGCUAGGGGGAUUGGCAAAUACGAUUUGAUCCCUAGAUUUCUGAAUGGGACAACCCGGCUAGUUGAAGACUAGUCAUUCCGCAAGGAAAGCAAACCCUCUGAACUGAAACAUCUAAGUAGGAGGAGGAGAAGAAAAUAAAUAAUGAUUCCGUAAGUAGUGGCGAGCGAACGCGGAACAGCCCAAACCAGAGUAAUUACGGUUACCCUGGGGUUAUAGGACUACAAUGUGGACUUAUAUUUAAUAGUGGAAUAGGUUUGGAAAGGCCGAUCAAAGAGGGUGAUAAUCCCGUACACGAAAUUAAGUAUAUACCUAGUAGUAUCCUGAGUACUGCGGGGUCGGAGACGCCCUGUAGGAAUUUGCCGGCACCAUCCGGUAAGGCUAAAUACUCCUAAGAGACCGAUAGUGAACUAGUACUGUGAAGGAAAGGUGAAAAGAACCGCGAACAGCGGAGUGAAAUAGAACCUGAAACCAUACGCUUACAAGCGGUCGGAGCCCUUUAGUGGGGUGACGGCGUGCCUUUUGCAUAAUGAGCCUACGAGUUGCUCUUUACUGGCAAGGUUAAGCACUUAAGGUGCGUGAACCGAAGCGAAAGCGAGUCUGAAUAGGGCGCAAAGUCAGUAGAGGCAGACGCGAAACCUUGUGAUCUACCCAUGGUCAGGAUGAAGUUCCGUUAACCCGGAAUGGAGGUCCGAACCGAUAAGCGUUGAAAAGCUUCCGGAUGAACUGUGGGUAGGGGUGAAAGGCUAAUCAAACUAGGAAAUAGCUCGUACUCCCCGAAAUGCCUUUAGGGGCAGCGUAGAGGUUAAGUCUUAUAGAGGUAGAGCUACUGAUUGGAUGCGGGGGAAGCGAUUCCUACCAAGUCCUGACAAACUCCGAAUGCUAUAAGAUAUACUCUGCAGUGAGCCCGUGGGUGCUAAGGCCCACGGACGAGAGAGGGAGAACUCAGACCAACAGCUAAGGUCCCAAAAUCUAUACUAAGUUGAUAUAACGUGGUCCGAUUGCAUUGACAGCCAGGAUGUUUGCUUGGAAGCAGCCAUUCAUUUAAAGAGUGCGUAACAGCUCACUGGUCGAGCGAUUGGGCGUGGAUGAUACUCGGGCAUCAAGUAUAGUACCGAAGCUUUGGGAUUGCAUGAUAAAUGUAAUCGGUAGGGGAGCAUUCUAACUGCGUUGAAGAAGUUGCGUAAGCGCUAUUGGAGCGGUUAGAAAAGCAAAUGUAGGCAUAAGUAACGAUAAAAUAGGCGAGAAACCUAUUCGCCAAUAGACUAAGGUUUCCUGAACAACGAUAAUCGGUUCAGGGUUAGUCGGGACCUAAGGCGAAGCCGAAAGGCGUAGUCGAUGGACAACUGGUUAAUAUUCCAGUACUAAUACCACUGCGAUGGAGAGACGAAAAAACGUAAAUGCGACGCACGGACGGAAGUGUGCGUUUAAGACCGUAGGGUUAACAUUGGUAGGCAAAUCCGCCAGUGUUCUGAAAGUUGAAAGUACCUUGAGUCGUCAGACAAGAGGAUAUGCAUCCAAGUAUGUUUCCGAGAAAAACUUCUAAGCUUCAGGUGAGUAUUACCCGUACCGCAAACCGACACAGGUAGUCAAGUAGAGUAUACUAAGGCGCUCGAGUGAUCCGUGGCUAAGGAACUAGGCAAAUUAACCCCGUAACUUCGGGAGAAGGGGUGCCCCCAGCAAUGGGGGCCGCAGAGAAAUGGCGGUGGCGACUGUUUAACAAAAACACAGGGCUUUGCAAAAACGAAAGUUGAAGUAUAAGGCCUGACACCUGCCCGGUGCUGGAAGGUUAAGAGGAGAGGUCAUCGCAAGAGAAGCUUUGAAUCGAAGCCCCAGUAAACGGCGGCCGUAACUAUAACGGUCCUAAGGUAGCGAAAUUCCUUGUCGGGUAAGUUCCGACCUGCACGAAUGGUGUAACGAUCUGGACACUGUCUCAGCCAUGAGCUCGGUGAAAUUGUAGUAACGGUGAAGAUGCCGUUUACCCGCAGUGGGACGAAAAGACCCUGUGCACCUUUACUAUAGCUUAGUAUUGACCUUGGAUAAAUGAUGUGUAGGAUAGGUUGGAGACUGUGAAGUGGCGUCGCUAGGCGUUGUGGAGUCAUUGUUGAAAUACAACCCUUUGUUUAUCUGAGGCCUAACCCCGCUUUGCGGGGGACAUUGCUUGGUGGGUAGUUUGACUGGGGUGGUCGCCUCCAAAAGAGUAA
Molecule: ribosomal RNA, 2273 nt
Filed under: marine metagenome
Description: bacterial LSU rRNA
Rfam family: Bacterial large subunit ribosomal RNA
Source: RNAcentral